Molecule: long non-coding RNA, 383 nt
Filed under: Parus major (Great Tit)
Lineage: Eukaryota; Metazoa; Chordata; Aves; Passeriformes; Paridae
Description: lncRNA (ENSPMJG00000014895.1)
Source: RNAcentral
GCAGAGAGGCUCUUACACACUCCCCUUUCAUAAUUUAGCACACUGGAAUCUUCUAGUGAAAUCAGGCCACUGAUGAACCACUGUGACACCUGUAGAAGUCAGAAAACUCCAGUGAAUCCUGGCCUCAAGGAGCUGUUGGCAGGCUGCUUUUGGUUCCAUCACUACAUCUGGACUCCAAGCAGAAGAUAUGACUUCUCCAGUCCUGCUGAGACCUCAGAGGCCUCAGAGCCCUGUCCUGGGUCAGCAUGAAGAAGAAAAACCACACAGGCAGCUCCUUGGAGGCAGAGAUCCUCCACAUGACCACUCUGAAUUGCUCAAGAACAGCCUCCAGGAACAAAUGCAGGAAUUUGAGAAUGAACUGCACACAAAAAUCAGAUUUCCAC